CCCUAUCUGCGUCUGUUGAGUGUCCUGAACCAGCAGACCACUGUGCUAAUCCUCUGAGAAGUUCUUCCUGUGAAAAGGCGAGGGAGAGGCAAUCUGACCUCAUCCUCAUCCCACAGUGCUUCAGACAAAACUGCCUUUUGGGCCCCUCCCAAGCAGUGGCACUGACCUGCUGACAGCAGCCGUGGUGGGGGCAGCAGGCAGGCUGGUGCAGCUGGGUCUGGGACAGCCAAAGAGUUUUGAUUAGGACGACCAGAACAGUGGUUGAACCCCCAGUUCCUUUCCCAGACACAAAGCCGGGAGCUAGCAGCUGGGCGCCGGCAGGUGCUCAUAUGGGAUGCUGGUGUCACAAGUGAAGACGUAAACCUCUCUGCCAAGAUGCCAUCCCAAAACGCCAUUGACGACUCUUCUGCAUCUACCCAAAAAUAGGUCACCUCUUCUGUUUCUUGUUUGAUUUUUUUACAGACAGCAGAAGUGAUAGUUGCAUCAGAACUGUGGUCUGGUUCCUGAUUCUGUACUCUCACUGAUCCUCCCACCUAGACUAAGCUCGGUGAGGUGAAGGUCAUGUCCACUGCCUCCUCCUCUUCCUCCUGCAUGUGGCUGGCAGCAGAUGCUCCAAGUCGACUGUGUUAAGUAAGCCCGAGUCGCUGCCGGAGCUGACAUGGGAGCCCGACCGGACCUCUCAUCAGUGACCUCUCCAACCCUCCACCUUCAUCUUGGAACUUGGAGACUACUGCCCAGAGUGCCAGUCAUCCCACGACUCCUGCCCAUAAGUGACUGCUCUGAGAUCCGUCUCUCCAAGUGGUAACAGAGAUUUUGGACUCUGGACUUUGAACCUUGACUUUUCAUGACCAUGAUAGGAACCUUGAGAAUGGAGCACACAUAUUUCACCCUUAGCCAUGAGUAAACGUUUAGAUUGAUUAUUCUUUAUGCUUUGUUUGUGUUAUACUUAUUACCAUUGUUGGAUAUUGUUAGAUUGUUUUACUCCUAGAUGUGUGUUAUGACCUGUGGGCUAAUAACAGAUUGUGUGGUAUUGACCUUUAGAUAUGUGCAUUGAAUAAAUACAUUGAGUGGUAUUUAGCAAUAAAUUAUAUUGAAAAGCC
Molecule: non-coding RNA, 1100 nt
Organism: Oryctolagus cuniculus (rabbit)
Lineage: Eukaryota; Metazoa; Chordata; Mammalia; Lagomorpha; Leporidae
Source: RefSeq, a predicted model, not a curated record